CUCCGAGGACAAUAUAUUAAAUGGAUUUUUGGAACUAGGAGUUGGAAUAGGAGCUUGCUCCGUCCACUCCACGCAUCGACCUGGUAUUGCAGUACCUCCAGGAACGGUGC
Molecule: small nuclear RNA, 110 nt
Filed under: Microtus ochrogaster (prairie vole)
Lineage: Eukaryota; Metazoa; Chordata; Mammalia; Rodentia; Cricetidae
Description: U2 spliceosomal RNA (ENSMOCG00000003449.1)
Rfam family: U2 spliceosomal RNA
About the family: U2 is a small nuclear RNA (snRNA) component of the spliceosome (involved in pre-mRNA splicing). Complementary binding between U2 snRNA (in an area lying towards the 5' end but 3' to hairpin I) and the branchpoint sequence (BPS) of the intron results the bulging out of an unpaired adenosine, on the BPS, which initiates a nucleophilic attack at the intronic 5' splice site, thus starting the first of two transesterification reactions that mediate splicing.
Source: RNAcentral